UCUAAGGCGCUUGAGAGAACUCAGGAGAAGGAACUCGGCAAAUUGACACCGUAACUUCGGAAGAAGGUGUGCCUUUAGUAGGUGAACCUGUACAAGGGGAGCCCAAUGAGGUUGCAAAAAAUCGGUGGCUGCGACUGUUUAAUAAAAGCACAGCACUCUGCAAACACGAAAGUGGACGUAUAGGGUGUGACGCCUGCCCGGUGCUGGAAGAUUAAAUGAUGGGGUGCAAGCUCUUGAUUGAAGUCCCAGUAAACGGCGGCCGUAACGAUAACGGUCCUAAGGUAGCGAAAUUCCUUGUCGGGUAAGUUCCGACCUGCACGAAUGGCGUAACGAUGGCCACACUGUCUCCUCCUGAGACUCAGCGAAGUUGAAAUGUUUGUGAUGAUGCAAUCUCCCCGCGGAAAGACGGAAAGACCCCAUGAACCUUUACUGUAGCUUUGUAUUGGACUUUGAACAGAUCUGUGUAGGAUAGGUGGGAGGCUUUGAAGUGUGGUCGCUAGAUCGCAUGGAGCUAACGUUGAAAUACCACCCUGGUGUGUUUGAGGUUCUAACCUAGGCCCGUAAUCCGGGUCGGGGACAGUGCAUGGUAGGCAGUUUGACUGGGGCGGUCUCCUCCCAAAGCGUAACGGAGGAGUUCGAAGGUACGCUAGGUACGGUCGGACAUCGUGCUAAUAGUGCAAUGGCAUAAGCGUGCUUAACUGCGAGACUGACAAGUCGAGCAGAUGCGAAAGCAGGACAUAGUGAUCCGGUGGUUCUGUAUGGAAGGGCCAUCGCUCAACGGAUAAAAGGUACUCUGGGGAUAACAGGCUGAUACCGCCCAAGAGUUCAUAUCGACGGCGGUGUUUGGCACCUCGAUGUCGGCUCAUCUCAUCCUGGGGCUGUAGCCGGUCCCAAGGGUAUGGCUGUUCGCCAUUUAAAGAGGUACGUGAGCUGGGUUUAAAACGUCGUGAGACAGUUUGGUCCCUAUCUUCCGUGGGCGCUGCAGAUUUGAGAAAGCCUGCUCCUAGUACGAGAGGACCGGAGUGGACACACCUCUGGUGUAUCGGUUGUCACGCCAGUGGCAUUGCCGAGUAGCUAUGUGUGGAAGAGAUAACCGCUGAAAGCAUCUAAGCGGGAAACUCGUUUCAAGAUGAGAUCUGCCGGGGCCUUGAGCCCCCUAAAGAGUCGUUCAAGACCAGGACGUUGAUAGGUCGGGUGUGGAAGCGCAGUAAUGCGUUAAGCUAACCGAUACUAAUUGCUCGUGCGGCUUGACC
Molecule: ribosomal RNA, 1253 nt
Filed under: metagenome
Description: bacterial LSU rRNA
Rfam family: Bacterial large subunit ribosomal RNA
Source: RNAcentral